Molecule: non-coding RNA, 73 nt
Organism: Stegodyphus mimosarum
Lineage: Eukaryota; Metazoa; Arthropoda; Arachnida; Araneae; Eresidae
Source: Rfam
GCCUUCGUGGUGUUUUGGUCAGCACGCUCGACUCGUAUUCGAGAGGUCCGUGGUUCGAGUCCUGGCGAGGGCA